RNAcentral lists this ribosomal RNA (208 nucleotides) under Helicobacter pylori. RNAcentral's name for it is "partial 23S ribosomal RNA". It matches the Rfam family "Bacterial large subunit ribosomal RNA", at positions 1904 to 2111 of the family's 2925-position model. The record is from RNAcentral. Lineage: Bacteria; Pseudomonadati; Campylobacterota; Epsilonproteobacteria; Campylobacterales; Helicobacteraceae.
GCGUUGAAUUGAAGCCCGAGUAAACGGCGGCCGUAACUAUAACGGUCCUAAGGUAGCGAAAUUCCUUGUCGGUUAAAUACCGACCUGCAUGAAUGGCGUAACGAGAUGGGAGCUGUCUCAACCAGAGAUUCAGUGAAAUUGUAGUGGAGGUGAAAAUUCCUCCUACCCGCGGCAAGACGGAGAGACCCCGUGGACCUUUACUACAACU